UGNAUGUCGAACGCCCUCUUCGGAGGGAGUGGCAGACGGGUGAGUAACGCGUGGGAACCUACCUAUCAGUACGGAACAACUCAGGGAAACUUGUGCUAAUACCGUAUACGUCCUUCGGGAGAAAGAUUUAUCGCUGAUAGAUGGGCCCGCGUUAGAUUAGCUAGUUGGUGAGGUAACGGCUCACCAAGGCGACGAUCUAUAGCUGGUCUGAGAGGAUGAUCAGCCACACUGGAACUGAGACACGGUCCAGACUCCUACGGGAGGCAGCAGUGGGGAAUAUUGGACAAUGGGCGCAAGCCUGAUCCAGCCAUGCCGCGUGAGUGAUGAAGGCCCUAGGGUUGUAAAGCUCUUUCAACGGUGAAGAUAAUGACGGUAGCCGUAGAAGAAGCCCCGGCUAACUUCGUGCCAGCAGCCGCGGUAAUACGAAGGGGGCGAGCGUUGUUCGGAAUCACUGGGCGUAAAGCGUACGUAGGCGGAUAGAUUAGUUAGGGGUGAAAUCCCGAGGCUCAACCUCGGAACUGCCUCUAAUACUGUCUAUCUAGAGAUCGAGAGAGGUGAGUGGAAUUCCUAGUGUAGAGGUGAAAUUCGUAGAUAUUAGGAAGAACACCAGUGGCGAANGCGGCUCACUGGCUCGAUACUGACGCUGANGUACGAAAGCGUGGGGAGCAAACAGGANUAGAUACCCUGGUAGUCCACGCCGUAAACGAUGAAUGCUAGCCGUCNNNNGUUUACACUUUGGUGGCGCAGCUAACGCAUUAAGCAUUCCGCCUGGGGAGUANNNUCGCAAGAUUAAAACUCAAAGG
Molecule: ribosomal RNA, 803 nt
Filed under: uncultured bacterium
Lineage: Bacteria
Description: bacterial SSU rRNA
Rfam family: Bacterial small subunit ribosomal RNA
Source: RNAcentral